RNAcentral lists this ribosomal RNA (254 nucleotides) under uncultured bacterium. RNAcentral's name for it is "partial 16S ribosomal RNA". It matches the Rfam family "Bacterial small subunit ribosomal RNA", at positions 524 to 776 of the family's 1533-position model. The record is from RNAcentral.
GACAGAGGCCUCAAGCGUUUAGGCGGAAUCACUGGGCUUAAAGCGUGUGUAGGCGGAUCGUUAAGUGUCUUGUGAAAUCCCACGGCUCACCCGUGGAACGGCUGGGCAUACUGGCGAUCUCGGGCCAACUAGGGGCAACUGGAACAAGCGGUGGAGCGGUGAAAUGCGUAGAUAUCGCUUGGAACGCCGAAGGUGAAAACAGGCUGCUGGGGUUGUGCCGACGCUGAGACACGAAAGCCAGGGGAGCAAACGGG